Molecule: ribosomal RNA, 274 nt
Filed under: uncultured Paracoccaceae bacterium
Lineage: Bacteria; Pseudomonadati; Pseudomonadota; Alphaproteobacteria; Rhodobacterales; Paracoccaceae
Description: uncultured Rhodobacteraceae bacterium partial 16S ribosomal RNA
Rfam family: Bacterial small subunit ribosomal RNA
Source: RNAcentral
GCAGUGGGGAAUCUUAGACAAUGGGGGCAACCCUGAUCUAGCCAUGCCGCGUGAGUGAUGAAGGCCUUAGGGUCGUAAAGCUCUWUCGCCAGGGAUGAUAAUGACAGUACCUGGUAAAGAAACCCCGGCUAACUCCGUGCCAGCAGCCGCGGUAAUACGGAGGGGGUUAGCGUUGUUCGGAAUUACUGGGCGUAAAGCGCGUGUAGGCGGAUACGCAAGUCGGUUGUGAAAUCCCUAGGCUCAACCUAGGAACUGCAUCCGAAACUGUGUGUCU